CCCUGAGAACUACAUUCAUAGAC
This 23-nucleotide non-coding RNA is filed under the name Cricetulus griseus (Chinese hamster). The record is from RNAcentral. Lineage: Eukaryota; Metazoa; Chordata; Mammalia; Rodentia; Cricetidae.